UUAAGCGACUAAGCGUACACGGUGGAUGCCCUGGCAGUCAGAGGCGAUGAAGGACGUGCUAAUCUGCGAAAAGCGUCGGUAAGGUGAUAUGAACCGUUAUAACCGGCGAUGUCCGAAUGGGGAAACCCAGUGCAAUUCGUUGCACUAUCGUUAACUGAAUACAUAGGUUAACGAGGCGAACCGGGGGAACUGAAACAUCUAAGUACCCCGAGGAAAAGAAAUCAACCGAGAUUCCCCCAGUAGCGGCGAGCGAACGGGGAGCAGCCCAGAGUCUGAAUCAGCUUGUGUGUUAGUGGAACGGUCUGGAAAGUCCGACGGUACAGGGUGAUAGUCCCGUACACCAAAAUGCACAGGCUGUGAACUCGAAGAGUAGGGCGGGACACGUGGUAUCCUGUCUGAAUAUGGGGGGACCAUCCUCCAAGGCUAAAUACUCCUGACUGACCGAUAGUGAACCAGUACCGUGAGGGAAAGGCGAAAAGAACCCCGGCGAGGGGAGUGAAAAAGAACCUGAAACCGUGUACGUACAAGCAGUGGGAGCACCUUCGGGUGUGACUGCGUACCUUUUGUAUAAUGGGUCAGCGACUUAUAUUCUGUAGCAAGGUUAACCGUAUAGGGGAGCCGCAGGGAAACCGAGUCUUAACUGGGCGUUAAGUUGCAGGGUAUAGACCCGAAACCCGGUGAUCUAGCCAUGGGCAGGUUGAAGGUUGGGUAACACUAACUGGAGGACCGAACCGACUAAUGUUGAAAAAUUAGCGGAUGACUUGUGGCUGGGGGUGAAAGGCCAAUCAAACCGGGAGAUAGCUGGUUCUCCCCGAAAGCUAUUUAGGUAGCGCCUCGUGAAUUCAUCUUCGGGGGUAGAGCACUGUUUCGGCUAGGGGGUCAUCCCGACUUACCAACCCGAUGCAAACUACGAAUACCGAAGAAUGUUAUCACGGGAGACACACGGCGGGUGCUAACGUCCGUCGUGAAGAGGGAAACAACCCAGACCGCCAGCUAAGGUCCCAAAGUCAUGGUUAAGUGGGAAACGAUGUGGGAAGGCACAGACAGCCAGGAUGUUGGCUUAGAAGCAGCCAUCAUUUAAAGAAAGCGUAAUAGCUCACUGGUCGAGUCGGCCUGCGCGGAAGAUGUAACGGGGCUAAACCAUGCACCGAAGCUGCGGCAGCGACACUAUGUGUUGUUGGGUAGGGGAGCGUUCUGUAAGCCUGCGAAGGUGACCUGUGAGGGUUGCUGGAGGUAUCAGAAGUGCGAAUGCUGACAUAAGUAACGAUAAAGCGGGUGAAAAGCCCGCUCGCCGGAAGACCAAGGGUUCCUGUCCAACGUUAAUCGGGGCAGGGUGAGUCGACCCCUAAGGCGAGGCCGAAAGGCGUAGUCGAUGGGAAACAGGUUAAUAUUCCUGUACUUGGUGUUACUGCGAAGGGGGGACGGAGAAGGCUAUGUUAGCCGGGCGACGGUUGUCCCGGUUUAAGCAUGUAGGCUGGUUAUCCAGGCAAAUCCGGAUAAUCAAGGCUGAGGUGUGAUGACGAGGCACUACGGUGCUGAAGUAACAAAUGCCCUGCUUCCAGGAAAAGCCUCUAAGCAUCAGGUAACAUCAAAUCGUACCCCAAACCGACACAGGUGGUCAGGUAGAGAAUACCAAGGCGCUUGAGAGAACUCGGGUGAAGGAACUAGGCAAAAUGGUGCCGUAACUUCGGGAGAAGGCACGCUGGUGUGUAGGUGAAGUCCCUGCGGAUGGAGCUGAGACCAGUCGAAGAUACCAGCUGGCUGCAACUGUUUAUUAAAAACACAGCACUGUGCAAACACGAAAGUGGACGUAUACGGUGUGACGCCUGCCCGGUGCCGGAAGGUUAAUUGAUGGGGUUAUCCGUAAGGAGAAGCUCUUGAUCGAAGCCCCGGUAAACGGCGGCCGUAACUAUAACGGUCCUAAGGUAGCGAAAUUCCUUGUCGGGUAAGUUCCGACCUGCACGAAUGGCGUAAUGAUGGCCAGGCUGUCUCCACCCGAGACUCAGUGAAAUUGAACUCGCUGUGAAGAUGCAGUGUACCCGCGGCAAGACGGAAAGACCCCGUGAACCUUUACUAUAGCUUGACACUGAACAUUGAGCCUUGAUGUGUAGGAUAGGUGGGAGGCUUUGAAGCGUGGACGCCAGUCUGCGUGGAGCCAACCUUGAAAUACCACCCUUUAAUGUUUGAUGUUCUAACGUUGGCCCCUUACCGGGGUUGCGGACAGUGUCUGGUGGGUAGUUUGACUGGGGCGGUCUCCUCCCAAAGCGUAACGGAGGAGCACGAAGGUUAGCUAAUCCUGGUCGGACAUCAGGAGGUUAGUGCAAUGGCAUAAGCUAGCUUGACUGCGAGCGUGACGGCGCGAGCAGGUGCGAAAGCAGGUCAUAGUGAUCCGGUGGUUCUGAAUGGAAGGGCCAUCGCUCAACGGAUAAAAGGUACUCCGGGGAUAACAGGCUGAUACCGCCCAAGAGUUCAUAUCGACGGCGGUGUUUGGCACCUCGAUGUCGGCUCAUCACAUCCUGGGGCUGAAGUAGGUCCCAAGGGUAUGGCUGUUCGCCAUUUAAAGUGGUACGCGAGCUGGGUUUAGAACGUCGUGAGACAGUUCGGUCCCUAUCUGCCGUGGGCGCUGGAGAAUUGAGGGGGGCUGCUCCUAGUACGAGAGGACCGGAGUGGACGCAUCACUGGUGUUCGGGUUGUCAUGCCAAUGGCACUGCCCGGUAGCUAAAUGCGGAAGAGAUAAGUGCUGAAAGCAUCUAAGCACGAAACUUGCCCCGAGAUGAGUUCUCCCUGAGACUUUAAGUCUCCUGAAGGAACGUUGAAGACGACGACGUUGAUAGGCCGGGUGUGUAAGCGCAGCGAUGCGUUGAGCUAACCGGUACUAAUGAACCGUGAGGCUUAACCUU
This 2900-nucleotide ribosomal RNA is filed under the name Klebsiella pneumoniae. RNAcentral's name for it is "bacterial LSU rRNA". It matches the Rfam family "Bacterial large subunit ribosomal RNA". RNAcentral also lists the same sequence under 2 other names. Lineage: Bacteria; Pseudomonadati; Pseudomonadota; Gammaproteobacteria; Enterobacterales; Enterobacteriaceae. The record is from RNAcentral.